This 320-nucleotide ribosomal RNA is filed under the name uncultured Prevotella sp. RNAcentral's name for it is "bacterial SSU rRNA". It matches the Rfam family "Bacterial small subunit ribosomal RNA", at positions 28 to 339 of the family's 1533-position model. The record is from RNAcentral. Lineage: Bacteria; Pseudomonadati; Bacteroidota; Bacteroidia; Bacteroidales; Prevotellaceae.
GAUGAACGCUAGCUACAGGCUUAACACAUGCAAGUCGAGGGGCAGCAUGAAGUUUGCUUGCAAACUUUGAUGGCGACCGGCGCACGGGUGAGUAACGCGUAUCCAACCUUCCCCUUAGUAGGGCACAGCCCGGCGAAAGUCGGAUUAAUUCCCUAUGUUGUUUGAUGCUGACAUCAAAAUCAAACCAAAGAUUCAUCGCUAAGGGAUGGGGAUGCGUCUGAUUAGAUAGUAGGCGGGGUAACGGCCCACCUAGUCAACGAUCAGUAGGGGUUCUGAGAGGAAGGUCCCCCACAUUGGAACUGAGACACGGUCCAAACUCC